GUUAAGUCCCGCAACGAGCGCAACCCCUGUCCUAUGUUAAAUUCUCAUAGGAGACUGCCCUGUACAGCAGGGAGGAAGGAGGGGAUGACGUCAAGUCAGCAUGGCCUUUAUGUCCUGGGCUACACACACGCUACAAUGGACGGUACAAAGGGUUGCCAAAGAGCGAUCUGGAGCUAAUCCCAGAAAAGCGUCCUCAGUUCGGAUUGCAGGCUGAAAUCGCCUGCAUGAAGUUGGAGUUGCUAGUAACCGCAGGUCAGCUAUACUGCGGUGAAUACGUUCUCGGGCCUUGUACACACCGCCCGUCACGUUAUGGAAGUUGGUAAUACUCGAAGUCGAUGGGCUAACCUGUUUUAACAGGAGGUAAUCGCCGAGAGUGGGGCUGAUAACUGUAACGAAGUCGUAACAAGGUA
RNAcentral lists this ribosomal RNA (410 nucleotides) under uncultured bacterium. RNAcentral describes it as "bacterial SSU rRNA". It matches the Rfam family "Bacterial small subunit ribosomal RNA", at positions 1079 to 1498 of the family's 1533-position model. The record is from RNAcentral.